CAAGUACUGUCUUCCUCAACCGUGUUAAACCACUUGAUCAACAAUUGAGUAAGUGGUUUGCCAUGUCGUUUGAUCAAUCGCCUGUCAAGAAUAGCUUCUGGUGCCAGCAACACAUGUCCAUCAUCUGAGCGAACCAAAGGUAGAACAACAGAAGCAGUGUGGUCGCCCAACUUCCUCUUGAGCUGAGAGAUGUGGAAAGUAGGAUGGACCUUAGCAUUAGGGGGC
RNAcentral lists this long non-coding RNA (225 nucleotides) under Solanum tuberosum (potato). RNAcentral's name for it is "long non-coding RNA (STUB_LNC006904)". Lineage: Eukaryota; Viridiplantae; Streptophyta; Magnoliopsida; Solanales; Solanaceae. The record is from RNAcentral.